This 218-nucleotide ribosomal RNA is filed under the name Penicillium sp. CBS 140624. RNAcentral's name for it is "partial 28S ribosomal RNA". It matches the Rfam family "Eukaryotic large subunit ribosomal RNA", at positions 1 to 215 of the family's 3401-position model. Lineage: Eukaryota; Fungi; Ascomycota; Eurotiomycetes; Eurotiales; Aspergillaceae. The record is from RNAcentral.
GGUUGACCUCGGAUCAGGUAGGGAUACCCGCUGAACUUAAGCAUAUCAAUAAGCGGAGGAAAAGAAACCAACAGGGAUUGCCCCAGUAACGGCGAGUGAAGCGGCAAGAGCUCAAAUUUGAAAGCUGGCUCCUUCGGGGUCCGCAUUGUAAUUUGCAGAGGAUGUUUCGGGAGUGGCCCCCAUCUAAGUGUCCUGGAACGGACCGUCAUAGAGGGUGA